ACCGCGGUUAUACGAGAGACCCCAGUUGAUAACUACGGCAUAAAGAGUGGUUAGGGAAACACAAUAAAUAAAGUUAAAAAUCUCCCAAGCUGUUACACGUCUCUCGGAGAUACGAAACCCAACCACGAAAGUGACUUUAAAUCCACCCCGACGCCACGAAAGCUAAGAAACAAAC
This 175-nucleotide ribosomal RNA is filed under the name Hemiodus sp. LEEM56. RNAcentral describes it as "partial small subunit ribosomal RNA". Lineage: Eukaryota; Metazoa; Chordata; Actinopteri; Characiformes; Hemiodontidae. The record is from RNAcentral.